This 71-nucleotide transfer RNA is filed under the name Marmota marmota marmota (Alpine marmot). It matches the Rfam family "tRNA". Rfam says of the family: Transfer RNA (tRNA) molecules are approximately 80 nucleotides in length. Their secondary structure includes four short double-helical elements and three loops (D, anti-codon, and T loops). Further hydrogen bonds mediate the characteristic L-shaped molecular structure. tRNAs have two regions of fundamental functional importance: the anti-codon, which is responsible for specific mRNA codon recognition, and the 3' end, to which the tRNAs corresponding amino acid is attached (by aminoacyl-tRNA synthetases). tRNAs cope with the degeneracy of the genetic code in two manners: having more than one tRNA (with a specific anti-codon) for a particular amino acid; and 'wobble' base-pairing, i.e. permitting non-standard base-pairing at the 3rd anti-codon position. The record is from Rfam by way of RNAcentral. RNAcentral also lists the same sequence under 1 other name. Lineage: Eukaryota; Metazoa; Chordata; Mammalia; Rodentia; Sciuridae.
GUGGCUGUGGCUCAGUGGUAGAGCACUUGCUUAGCAUGCGUGAGACACUGGGUUCGAUCCUCAGCACCACA